GGGUGGGACGCUGAAAGCAGAUGGGGCAUAGAAAAGAAAUGGCGUUAGAAUUAUUUCUGCAUGGAAAUAUUCUACGUGAAAGACUUGUUCCUUCUCACUUCUAUGCCUGCUAAAUAGAGGUGUCUAACAACCUCUAACCACCCCAGAGUAAGAUCAUCCUAACUUUGAUUCAAAUUCAAAUCAAAUUCAAAACUUGAUAAGGAUAAAGCCUUAUUUGGAGGAGAGAGA
This 228-nucleotide long non-coding RNA is filed under the name Elaeis guineensis (African oil palm). RNAcentral describes it as "long non-coding RNA (EGUI_LNC039349)". The record is from RNAcentral. Lineage: Eukaryota; Viridiplantae; Streptophyta; Magnoliopsida; Arecales; Arecaceae.